CAGAACCGGUUGCAACUUCAACUCCACCUCUAAACCUGUUUGCCAAACCGGCGACUGCGAAAGCCUGCUCUCAUGCAAUGGAACUAUAGGCAUGCCUCCUGCCACACUUGUGGAGGUAGAGUGUUAUUUUUAUUUUUUUAAAAAAAACUCUUUUCCUUGUUAUAUCCAUUCUACAUCUCUGUUAAGCCUGGCUGGAUGAUUGUGAUAUGUGAACAAUACCAUGACAUUAUGAUUUGAAAGUAAAUCUAUAGCAAAAAUAACUUUUCUGGAAUCCAAAACUUUCCUCUUUUCCUUGUAAUAUUCAUUCUACAUCCUCUGUUAAGCCUGUUUGGAUGAUUGUGGUAUGUUAACAAUGCCAUAACCUUAUGAUUUGAAAGUAAAUCUAUAGCAAAAGUAACUUUCUGGAAUCCAGAAGUUUAGUCUUUUCUACAUCCUUUGUCAAGCCUGUUUGGUUGAUUGUGAUAUGUCAACAAUACUGUAAAAUUAUGAUUUGAAAGUAAAUCUAUAGCAAAAAUAACUUUUCUGGAAUCCAAAACUCUACUCUUUUCCUUGUAAUAUUCAUUCUACAUCCUCUGUUAAGCCUGUUUGGAUGAUUGUGAUAUGUUAACAAUACCAUAAGAUUAUGAUUUGAAAGUAAAUCUGUAGCAAAAGCAACUUCUCUGGAAUCAGAACAAAAAACAAAAAAAAAAACUUCAUAACCAGCAAUAUUCAUGUCAAAAUACGAGGAAUAUGACUGCUUUCGCAAUAAACCUACAGUUGAUUAGUACCUUUAUGAUAUGUAGAUAUCAAAAUUUUAUAGAGAAGAGAAUGCAUCUGACUAUGCCUUGUUAAGAAAAUGGAUGCUACCUGCCUACUUGUGCAUUGGCUUGUGCAGGUUGCAUUGCAGGAAGAUAAGAGCAAACCUAGCUUCUAUGAUGUUAGUGUGGUUGAUGGGUACAAUCUACCCAUUUCUGUCUCAACCAAGCCAGCCGAUCGAAAGUGUUGGAUUGGUGGGUGCACAAAGAGCAUUAACAGCGUAUGCCCACCAGAGCUCCAGGUUUUAGAUCAAAGUGGAGGUAUCAUUGCAUGCAAGAGUGCAUGUCUGGCAUUCAAUUUGGAUGUGUUUUGUUGUCGAAAUUCCUAUGGGAAGCCAGAAAAGUGCAAGGCCAGCAUGUACUCUAAGAUGUUCAAGGACGCUUGCCCUUCCUAUUUUAGCUAUGCUUAUGACACUCCAUCUCCACUUGUGAAUUGCUACUCCAAAGAUUAUGUAAUCACCUUCUGCCCCUCCAAAUGGAAAACUCACCUGUCUAUGUAAUUGAAAAUCAUACUACCGGGACAGUAUACACUGUUUAGCUACCUUUGUAAGGAUAAAAGAAAUUAUAUGCAACAAGUUUCUUCAUAACUACAAAAAUGGAGAACUUUAGUAAACUUUAAGACCAUACCAAAGUAACUAUUGGCUUUAACAAAACCAUUAUGAUCUGCCUCCUCUUCUUUUCAAGAAAUGAGUCACAAGGAGAAAUGCUGGAUUGAUGCAUGCGAGGGAAAUAAACAUUAGUAUGCUUUGUGUCACACAAUAUUGCCUGAACUGUGUGCCCAAGUAGAUAUAGCACCAGAUUUUCACAAAAUUUAGCUCAAGUUGCUUGAUUGUUGACAAUAGUGACAUUUUAUUACAUAUACACUCGCAUGCACGGACAUGCACACACAUGAAUAUAUACACAUUGGACAUAGGGAGACACACAGAUACAUGUAUAGAUAGGCAGGUAUGUACAUGAAUGUGUGUCCGCAAGGAUAACGACAUCUCUUGAAAAUCUUUAGGAAAUGGGCACACCUUAGAUAAAAGAAGACAAUAUCUUGAUCUUGAACAAGGUUCAAAAUUUAUUUCCCUUAAAUCUUAAAAUAUUUUUUGUUUUUUCCUAAAUCUUCAGCCAAAUUCAUCGAAAGAAUAUUUAGAAGACCAAUUAAUUGUUAAAUAUUUUGAUUUUAAAAAAGGCAUUUGUCAUUUAAUUUUCUUCAUUAAGUAAUCCAACAUGAAAUUUGGUCUUUCAAGGCCGUAUUUAAUCCAGCGGACCUAACGUGUUACUUUAUGUUAGCUCAAGGCCAGCCACACCCAAGUUGUGACUUUGGAACCCUGAAAUAUCUCAAAGAUGUGGUUUAGGUAAUUUAAUGCCUUGUCUUCUAAUUUGCUAGAUAUGCUCAGCUGGAGAUUGUGUUUUUUUGAAGAUGCAUGAGCUAGUCUCCAAGACUAUUUCCGCUGGAGCUAGUCAUAGCAACCCUUUCCAAUAAAUCUAGCAAAAAUAUGACUAUUUGAGAGGGCGUGCCUUGGUAUAGAAAAAUCUAAAAAACAUCUCUCGCAGCAUAAUUUUCAGAGUAUCAUUUCGUAACAAAACUUUAGUACAAGGACAAAAUAAAUAUUUAGGUUCCUUUUAUGAAAAAGGUUCUAUCACAAGGAUUAAAAUGUAAUUAAUGAAGGUUUUUUGUAAAAUAAUAUACUUCUCAGGGGCUUACUGCAAAUAUUUUAUUUAUUUAUUUAUUUAUUUAUUUAACUAGAUUCAGAUUUCAGAUCGAAACCCAAAACCCAAAACUCGAUUAGACUCCUUAUUGUUCCAUAGCGAUUGGGUGGAGAAUGGCCUCAGAUUCAGAGGCCCAUCCUCGCCAAAAGACUGUUGGCAACUGCCGAAAUUCUUUGAUCAACAACCCACCACCUUCUUCUUUGCCUCACAGAACCCUCGCAUUGCCUCCUCAUCCUCCCCCUCUGUCAUCCCCAGUGAAGGUCGCGACCGCCGUCCGAGAAGUAUCCCCAUCUCUAACUUGUGAAUGAUGAAGACUGCUCCCCCGAGUUAAUGGGAAUCUCCGAUGAGUAGGGGGAGAAGGCCAAGCCGCCCUCGAAGGUGGAUCCGCCGAAGGACGAGGAUGAAUGGGGAAGAGAGCAAGGGAAGGCUGGCGUGACGACAUGAAUCGUAGACUAGUGGGGGGGGGGGAAGGAGGCGAAGCCGCUGUCGAAGCUGAUACGCCCAUGGACGAGGAUGAGUGGGGGAAAUAGUCGCGACUAGGAGGAAUGACGGCUGAGAACCUGAGCGCCGUCAUCCCUUCUUCUUCCUUUUUUUUUAAUAAUCUGAUUUCUUCUUUAUUUGAUCUAUUAUUUUGAUUUAACCUCCUACAAAAUCCAGGAUCUAAUACCAAAUAUUGCAAUUUCGUGGACUACAUACAGAAGAUUAAAGCACAAGAUGAACAAACCAUAAAUCUACUCAAAGAAGAUUGAAAAGUACCAUGAUAGCCCUAAGUAGUCAUUGUUGAUCACUACAGCAAUAUUCUGCGGAAGAUGUAAGCACAGAAAUGGGAUAGAUCUUCCUCUUCUUCUCUUUCAUGCUUGUCUCUUCAAUAGAAUAGGUCCCUCCAGGUCUAGGAACGCAAAGAUCUUAAUGCUCUAGAAUUUCUCUAAGGAC
Molecule: long non-coding RNA, 3422 nt
Filed under: Phoenix dactylifera (date palm)
Lineage: Eukaryota; Viridiplantae; Streptophyta; Magnoliopsida; Arecales; Arecaceae
Description: long non-coding RNA (PDAC_LNC004149)
Source: RNAcentral